AGCUUUGUGCAGUGGCAGUAUCAUAGCAAUGAGGUUUAUCCGAGGCGCUAUUAUUUCUCAUUUAAAACUUUUCCCAAUACUCCGCCAUGACGACUUGAAAUAAGAGCAUUGGCAAUUUUUGACAGUCUCUACGGAGA
Small nuclear RNA from Callithrix jacchus (white-tufted-ear marmoset), 137 nucleotides. Its record names the gene U4. It matches the Rfam family "U4 spliceosomal RNA". Rfam says of the family: U4 small nuclear RNA (U4 snRNA) is a component of the major U2-dependent spliceosome. The structure of U4 snRNA from yeast and human has been reported. NCBI's taxonomy places the organism in Eukaryota, Metazoa, Chordata, Mammalia, Primates, Cebidae. The record is from Ensembl.